CGAGUUAUCUGAACCUUCGGGGAACGAUAACGGCGUCGAGCGGCGGACGGGUGAGUAAUGCCUAGGAAAUUGCCCUGAUGUGGGGGAUAACCAUUGGAAACGAUGGCUAAUACCGCAUGAUGCCUACGGGCCAAAGAGGGGGACCUUCGGGCCUCUCGCGUCAGGAUAUGCCUAGGUGGGAUUAGCUAGUUGGUGAGGUAAGGGCUCACCAAGGCAACGAUCCCUAGCUGGUCUGAGAGGAUGAUCAGCCACACUGGAACUGAGACACGGUCCAGACUCCUACGGGAGGCAGCAGUGGGGAAUAUUGCACAAUGGGCGCAAGCCUGAUGCAGCCAUGCCGCGUGUAUGAAGAAGGCCUUCGGGUUGUAAAGUACUUUCAGUCGUGAGGAAGGCGUUGUCGUUAAUAGCGGCAUCGUUUGACGUUAGCGACAGAAGAAGCACCGGCUAACUCCGUGCCAGCAGCCGCGGUAAUACGGAGGGUGCGAGCGUUAAUCGGAAUUACUGGGCGUAAAGCGCAUGCAGGUGGUUUGUUAAGUCAGAUGUGAAAGCCCGGGGCUCAACCUCGGAAUAGCAUUUGAAACUGGCAGACUAGAGUACUGUAGAGGGGGGUAGAAUUUCAGGUGUAGCGGUGAAAUGCGUAGAGAUCUGAAGGAAUACCGGUGGCGAAGGCGGCCCCCUGGACAGAUACUGACACUCAGAUGC
RNAcentral lists this ribosomal RNA (702 nucleotides) under Vibrio azureus. Its description in RNAcentral is "bacterial SSU rRNA". It matches the Rfam family "Bacterial small subunit ribosomal RNA", at positions 63 to 754 of the family's 1533-position model. The record is from RNAcentral. Lineage: Bacteria; Pseudomonadati; Pseudomonadota; Gammaproteobacteria; Vibrionales; Vibrionaceae.